GGCUCGGUAGUCUAAAGGCUUAGGACUCUCGCACGGAAUGCAAGCCUAGAGAUCCGGGUUCGAUUCCCGGCCGAGGUA
Molecule: transfer RNA, 78 nt
Filed under: Mycetomoellerius zeteki
Lineage: Eukaryota; Metazoa; Arthropoda; Insecta; Hymenoptera; Formicidae
Description: Trachymyrmex zeteki tRNA
Rfam family: tRNA
About the family: Transfer RNA (tRNA) molecules are approximately 80 nucleotides in length. Their secondary structure includes four short double-helical elements and three loops (D, anti-codon, and T loops). Further hydrogen bonds mediate the characteristic L-shaped molecular structure. tRNAs have two regions of fundamental functional importance: the anti-codon, which is responsible for specific mRNA codon recognition, and the 3' end, to which the tRNAs corresponding amino acid is attached (by aminoacyl-tRNA synthetases). tRNAs cope with the degeneracy of the genetic code in two manners: having more than one tRNA (with a specific anti-codon) for a particular amino acid; and 'wobble' base-pairing, i.e. permitting non-standard base-pairing at the 3rd anti-codon position.
Source: Rfam by way of RNAcentral